This 98-nucleotide small nucleolar RNA is filed under the name Macleaya cordata. Its description in RNAcentral is "Small nucleolar RNA snoR113". It matches the Rfam family "Small nucleolar RNA snoR113". Lineage: Eukaryota; Viridiplantae; Streptophyta; Magnoliopsida; Ranunculales; Papaveraceae. The record is from Rfam by way of RNAcentral.
UGGCAGUGAUGAAAAAAAGGCCGGUCGUACAGCUGCUUUGGUUCAAUCCAAUUGGUAGUAGAAUGAUGUGAAUUAUCAUGAGGUGUGUUCUGAGCCAG